Molecule: long non-coding RNA, 3310 nt
Organism: Cercocebus atys (sooty mangabey)
Lineage: Eukaryota; Metazoa; Chordata; Mammalia; Primates; Cercopithecidae
Exons: 2
Source: RefSeq, a predicted model, not a curated record
CCAGAAAGCCCACGUCAGUCACACCUGCUGCAGAGCCUGAGUCUGGUCCCCACAGACCCAGUAUGAUGGCGAGGUGUAGGCCCUCUCCCAGCAGCCCCUGGUCUGAUGGGGAAGACAUAGUUUUUGCCCUGGGCAGCUCAGGCUUUGACUAGGGCAAUACUACCUGGCCGAGGGCAGCCCUCAGACUGAGAGGACUCCCCUUACCCUGGACAGUCCCCAAUACAGUGGCUUGGACUGUGGAGGUCCCAGUGUGUUGGAGGGGAUGCAGCCUCUGCCCAGGAGAAGCCCCCAGUCUGAAGGAGUCUGUCUGAACCCUUGGUCUAGGGUCUUGUUCUUCCCCACAGCCUGGACUGAGUCUGAAAACAGUUCUGGGUCUGUUGCUACCAGCAAAUCCCAGCCCCCGCCUUCAGUGUCAGAGCGGAGGAGAGUGGGGCCACAGAGGCCACAGCUGUGACUUCCCCAGCUCCCCACCAUCUCUCUUCAGGCCUCACACCCUCCUGCCACCUCUAGACACUUCACUCUGCCCUUUCCAGGGCCUGGGGUCUAUGGCCAGCCAACAACCACAAGACUCAUUCAUUUGAGGUUCUUUCCUGCCCCUCUCCUCUUCACUCUGGAGAGCUCUGAGGUGAAAACAAAUAAGAACAAAGGGUGUGUUUUGUCACUGACUGAGAGAAAGUUUUCCAUCUCUGCUUAGUUAAGGGUUUUUCUCCCUUUGCUCCAAAUUACAACUCCUCCCUGAGGGCUGAGACUCUGGCCCCUUGCCCCAGCCCCCAUCAACUGAGUCUGGGCCCAUCUGCAGCUCAGCAUGAACCCGGCAGCAGCAUGGCUGGAAGGGCCAGAUCCCGAGUUUCUUGUGGGCUAUUUCUGAGCCCUGCAAAUCCCAGGGGCUGGGAUUGUAACCUCAAGUGGAAGACUCAUGGCUUGGAGGCAGGACUCUUGGGCCAAGGGUGUGAUAACUGAGACCUGAGACCCCAGGACAAGGGGCCUGCCCAGGGUCCCAGAAUGAGUGAGUAGCUGAGGCAGGCCCUGACACCUAAUCCAGGGCUCUUCCAUUAUCCCACAUAGACAGGCAGGCACAUUUGCCAGGACUCCAGGCUUAUAAAUCUGCCCAAACAUCAUUCCUUCUGGUCAAAGCACGAGCUGAGAUUCUCCAGAUGUAAGGGAGGGUCUUGGAGAGCAGAGGAGCUGGAUUCCCUUCUCCUCACCAAUGCAAGUGGGGGAGGGGCACAUCCCUUCUCCCACCCCUGAGUCAAGCUCCAUUCAAGGCAAUGCCGCCUCCCUGGGCCUGUUUGGCCUGGCAACCACCCAACCUCUGCCUCCCAGCCAGUGACCAACCCUUAACGAGGGGAGAGGGAAUGGCUCUAAGGAAGCGAGGGAGACAAGGAAGGCAGAGGGAAGGCCUGGGGUCCAGAGGUGCAGCUGAGGGUUUGUGAUGUGCCAGUCACACUUCUGCUGGGCACACUGUGAGUCUUCACUGGGCACCAGACUGUCUGGCGCUGGGCUCUUUCACACCCUGCUGUGGGGACAGACUCCCAGGCUCUUUCUUUCCCCUCACAAACCUUUAAUUCACUAGCAUAGUCUGAGAUGGCUCCUUCCGCCUCUUUGCAGCUAGCGGGGCCCCUCACUUCCCAGGCAGAAGAGGGGGUGGUGGGCAGUUUUCUCAUUCUAGGCCGCCAGUGAAGGUGACAGGUCUCAGAAUAAAAUCCUGUAGGAAACUCUGAGUGUGUGCAUGUGUGUGUUUGGGGGAAGGAUAGAGAGGAUGAAUAGGAAUGGAACUUGAAAGAAAAUGACUGUUUUCCUGAGAGAGGAGCAGGGUAGGGGGUGACACUAGUGUGUCUGCCAGGAAGAAAGGACCUGGCCGGGGGCCAGCAGCCUGAGCCCUUGCCCCUGUCUCCCUCCAGAUUUGCUCCCAUGGAGAAAGCUAACCGCUUCAGGCCCUGUCCCAAACUCCUGGCCAGGGAGGGCUGGUUUUCGUGGUGACCCCCAGGCCCUAGUAGCACCUGGCAUUGUACCCCCUGACACCCUUGCUCCACAGUUCAAAAAGAAAGAAGGAAGGAAACAGUAUGGGAAGGGGGAGGAGAGCUAAAAGCUUUGCCUGGACAGAACCCUGGAGUUCUGACUCCCAGCAGGGAAUUGACACUGUAGAAAGAACAUGGGUUAGAAUCCCAGUAUCUCUACUUGCAAACUUACAUAACAAAUUAUGGAAUCUCUCCAAGCCUCAGUUUCCUUAUGUGCAAAAUGGGGUUGAUAAGACUUUCCCCAUAGUAAGAUGUGAGGCUUAAAUGAUAUAGCAACGUGGAACUGCUGGGCAUGUAGUGCAUACUCAAUAAAUAUACAUUCCCCUCUUCUUUCCUUUUCUACCCAGAUACACCCUGGUGCCCCCAGCCUCUGCCAGCUCAGUGAAGGAACAGAAGGCCUGCAGAUAGAUGCCCAGGGUGCUGAAGAGGUUUCUCCAUUUUGGCUGGCCCAGACUGCCGAUAUCUUCCAGAACUGCUCAACUUCUCCAGUUUUAUUUCCUGUUCUCAAUCACAUAGCAGCUGUUCUCUGGUAAGUGUCACACAGUCUCACCCUACACGUGCUAGCACAGUCCCCAGGCAAGGACUUGCAGUGAACCCCAUACAGACUUAUGGGAACCCCCUUCAGUAUAGCUCCCUCCUCUGUAAUGCACCGCUCCACGGAUUCCAGCUACUUCAACAGCCCUGAACUCUGAGCUUUGUCCCUCAGCACGGCAGGACUGCUGUGCUCUGCUUGAGGUCUAGUUCCCCGAACUGCAGUCGGGAAUUGUCUCCAAGCAAAGGACGGGGGCAAUUGUGGGGCUCACUUUCUGGGUUUUCCUUCUGUGGAUGGUUGUUCCCUAAAUGACACAACAAUAUCUCCCAUUCCUACAUUCUUCUCACAACAUGACUUUAACACUCCUCCCAGCAAUUGUGGGGUCUACCUUCCCUACCCUUGAACCUGGGAGGGGGCUGUGACUGCUCUAGCCAAUAGAGAGCAGUAGAAGCAAUAGUAGGUCAUAAAAAGGAUAUAGUUCCUCUCUCUCCUCCCCACUCCCAACACUCAUCCCCAGGGGCCAGACACCAUGUUAUAAGGAAGCCCAAACUAGCCCACAUGGACAGACCAUGUGGAAAGGUCCACGUGAAAAAUAACUGAGGCCACCAGCCAACAGCCAGCAUCGACUGCCAGAUAUCAACACACUUCAGAUGAUUCCAGUCCCAGACACUGUAGAAUGGAGACAAGCUGCCUUGAUGUGCCCUAUUUGAAAUUUCGACUCACAGUAUCUGUGAACUCAAUAAAUGGUUGUUUUACUUCA